This 400-nucleotide ribosomal RNA is filed under the name uncultured bacterium. Its description in RNAcentral is "bacterial SSU rRNA". It matches the Rfam family "Bacterial small subunit ribosomal RNA", at positions 355 to 772 of the family's 1533-position model. The record is from RNAcentral.
UGGGGAAUAUUGGGCAAUGGGCGAAAGCCUGACCCAGCCAUGCCGCAUGAGUGAUGAAGGCCUUCGGGUUGUAAAGCUCUUUCAACGGGAAAGAUUAUGACGGUACCCGUAGAAGAAGUCCUGGCUAACUCCGUGCCAGCAGCCGCGGUAAUACGGAGAGGGCAAGCGUUGUUCGGAAUCAUUGGGCGUAAAGGGCGCGUAGGUGGUCUUGUAAGUUGGUGGUGAAAUCCUGGGGCUUAACCCCAGGGCUGCUUCCAAUACUGCUAGACUAGAGUGUAAAGUAGGGUAAUGGAAUUCCUAGUGUAGAGGUGAAAUUCGUAGAUAUUAGGAGGAACACCAGAGGCGAAGGCGAUUACCUGGGUUAUUACUGACACUGAGGCGCGAAAGCGUGGGGAGCAAA